UGGGGAAUAUUGGACAAUGGGGGCAACCCUGAUCCAGCAAUGCCGCGUGUGUGAAGAAGGCCUGCGGGUUGUAAAGCACUUUCAGCAGCCAAGAAAAGCCUGAGGUUAAUAACCUCGGGUCUUGACAUUAACUGCAGAAGAAGCACCGGCUAACUCUGUGCCAGCAGCCGCGGUAAUACAGAGGGUGCAAGCGUUAAUCGGAAUUACUGGGCGUAAAGCGCGCGUAGGCGGUUUGUUUAGUCGGAUGUGAAAGCCCCGGGCUCAACCUGGGAAUUGCAUUCGAUACUGGCAGGCUAGAGUAUGGUAGAGGGAAGUGGAAUUCCGGGUGUAGCGGUGAAAUGCGUAGAUAUCCGGAGGAACACCAGUGGCGAAGGCGGCUUCCUGGACCAAUACUGACGCUGAGGUGCGAAAGCGUGGGGAGCAAACA
RNAcentral lists this ribosomal RNA (427 nucleotides) under uncultured bacterium. RNAcentral describes it as "bacterial SSU rRNA". It matches the Rfam family "Bacterial small subunit ribosomal RNA", at positions 355 to 774 of the family's 1533-position model. The record is from RNAcentral.